CAGCCGCCGCGGUAAUACGUAGGGUGCGAGCGUUAAUCGGAAUUACUGGGCGUAAAGCGGGCGCAGACGGUUACUUAAGCAGGAUGUGAAAUCCCCGGGCUCAACCUGGGAACUGCGUUCUGAACUGGGUGACUAGAGUGUGUCAGAGGGAGGUAGAAUUCCACGUGUAGCAGUGAAAUGCGUAGAGAUGUGGAGGAAUACCGAUGGCGAAGGCAGCCUCCUGGGAUAACACUGACGUUCAUGCCCGAAAGCGUGGGUAGCAAACAGGAUUAGAUACCCGUGUAGUCCCUGUCUUUUAUAU
Molecule: ribosomal RNA, 301 nt
Filed under: uncultured bacterium
Lineage: Bacteria
Description: partial 16S ribosomal RNA
Rfam family: Bacterial small subunit ribosomal RNA
Source: RNAcentral